UGGAGAAUUUACAAUAAUACUCAGUUUUAUUAUUAGAUAACGCAACUAUAAUGCCAUCAUUUUUUUUGUUGGUUUUGACAUCGUUUUAGUAUUGAAUUUAUUCAAGAAUUCAAGAUAUAUUUACCGGAUUAGUUCAAAUAUUGUAUAAGUACUUCACGUAUAUCGCAGUUUUGUUAAAUCAUUUAUGUGUAUGCAUGCAUACAAUCUUACAAUGGACAAGGUGGGUAGUUAUCAAACCUACCGCGUCAAAAUUCGUUACAAAGAACGGAAUAAAAUCUAGGCAAUCAAAAUAAACGAACUAUAAAAAUACAAACUAAAUAGAGAUAAAAGGUAUAAAAAAUCAAUUUAAAUUAAAGGAAUGGUGGGAAGACAUGAAUCACGCGUCGAAGGCACACCUACCCGAAGGGUUUUGGAGAGUAGACAAAGAGACAAACAAAGAUAUGUGAGUUUGGUUGGGUUUUGGGGGGGUUGGUAGUGUAUGAGGUCCAUAUGCCUCGAUCUUUCGCUUCUUUUAAUUACUUUUCUUUAUUACAAAAUCUAUCUAACUAUUCUACUCUAUCGAACCAUGCACAUAUAUAAUUAUAUGUAUAAGCCCAUCAAAGUUUUUGAAUUCAGUGCAAACACUUGUCAAAGGAGUAGUCCCGAUCUGGUUCCAUCUUAUCUUCGUUGUCUGCUCGACCUUGGCUUUGACUUUAACAUCACAUUUAACUUUCUUUUUUUGUUAAUACAUCAGAUGUAACUUCCCUCCACAGAAUUAAAAUUAAAAAAAAAAAAAGUAAAAAAAAAACAUAUCGAUACGGGGAAAAUGGAGAUCAAAUGACCUUAGGAAUUAACGACUCUAAUAAACUGUAUACUUUGUUAUUGCUACUUUUUCAAUCUCAUGAUAUCCAUAUACAAUACCAGCACAGUUAAUCAUGUAUACGUAUAUGUUUAUGCUCAUGGUUUUGCUUAUGUGUUUAUUCAUCAAGCGCAUGCUUAGUUACAUGGAACUCUCUCACGUCAAUAUGUAAUAAUGUAGUCUCUACAUGAAACUAUCCUAUUCGGUGGAAUAUAUAUUUUCCUCCAACCGAAUCAUUCAAAUGAUUUACAGAAGAAGGUUUCCAUAUUUUAGGUCCUUUUAUGUCAUUAAAUUCCAUAGACAAUCAUCUUUCUUAUUGUAAAUCCGCAUGCCUACGAUAAUCUAAGAUUUUAUGCAAAAGAAAGGGAAAUCCGUAUGUAUACGAACGUAAAGACUUAAUCAUCAAAUAGACUAUCGUGUCAGUAUGUAUGUGUGUACUAGUAAUAUCUGGUAUACUAAAUGUUUAAAAAAAAAAAAAAAGCCUCAGAAAUCAAAAGUUUCGAUCAUCUAUCUACCCCAUCAAUCAUAAACCGAUACCAUGUAUGAUGAUCAUAAGAAGGAUAGAUGAAUGAAAUAAACGAUAACGUAUUAGGGUUUUAAGGAGAGAUCGAGACCAAGGUCGAACAGACAACGAAACAAAGAUGAGAACACAUAAGAUUGCUCACUUUGUCAAGCCUAGCAUCGAAUCCAAUCACUCUUCAUCUUCAUCUUCUGAUGUCCACCGUAUAUAACCCAUCCCAAUAUUAUUAUUCUAUUGGUUACCAAAAAGAAAGAGGAUAUUUCUGUGAAGGAGGAACCCUAGCUACUUAUAGAAGAAGAUGUAAAAUAUUAGAGGAGGAGAAUCCACGCAACUAACUAUGAGUUAAUAGAAGAAAGAUUACGACAAAACUUGAUGAAACAUCUGGAGUAGAGAACCUCGCACGUGGCACGCAAUCACUCGAACUCUUUGGUUUAUUGACUCACGGGUGACUUGUACGUGUGCAUGCCUUCGUGCGUGUGGUGUAUAUAUACACACGGACACACACUUUAAACAUAUAUUUACGCAACACACUGUACCGUACCUACCAACGUCUCUCACUGAUUAUGUAAAAAGUAAAGAUUCGGUACCUCCCAAGCAUGUGCGUAGUUAUAACUAGAUUUCCUAUGUUGACAAUUCAUAUUAUACUUAAUACUCUAAAUUCGAAGCCCACUAUAUGAAAUCCGAAAUAACCAAUAAUGUUUCAAAGGAUAUUGAUAUCUAGCUUUUUACUGAUAUAACAAAACUACUGAUGAACAUUAUCAUUGUUUCGUGAAAGUAAAAUAUUUCGUGUAUGUUUUUACAAAAUCUUGUUACCUGAUUUUGUGUGGUAGACUAUUAUUAUUUCCUUAUGAGAAGCACUAGCAGUGUACCAUAUUUUAGCUUUAUUUGGAAUGUUACUGUUGUGCCGUUAGUGAUAGUACAAUGAUGAACUUCAAUAAUUCUGAGAUGAGUUAAUUCAUGCGCUUCCGUAAUCCUUUUUCUUCGGUAUGUUGUCUGUGUUUUGUUUUAUCUACGUGUGUGUGUUUGUUUUUUAUACUAAUUUAUUCGAUAGAUAGUGUUAGUAUAACGAACAUAAAUUAGGUUUAGUUAACGAAAAAUACAAUAUCCUAUACACAAAAAAAAGGAUGAGAAACUGCUCACAGGUUCGGUUACUAUUAACUCAUGCUGAUUCCGAUUCAUAAAAAUUAGAAGUACUAAUUAAGCAAUGUAAAAAAAAAAAAAUUACAAGUACUAAUUAAUUAAACCCAUCCGCAGUUUCCCACCAAACCUUGUUGUUGAAGACUCCAAGUUUUCCCCACCUACCAAUUGCGCAAACUUCCAUAAAUUUUCCACGUCAUAUUGAAACCCAACCUAUAUUUUUGGUUUUUUUUUGUUCUCUUUCUCGUCGUACUUAAUUGUAUUAAUUCUACUAAAAAUAUUUUGGUAUUCAUUAUUCAAUGAGUUUUAAUCUUUUCAACAUCUGUUAUUUAUCACAUUUAUUACAAUGGACAGUAAAUUUUGAAUUCGAAUUCAUGUUAACUAUCAACACGGGUCACUAUACAAUACUGUAUUAUCAACAAUGCUAUGCUUGUUUAUCUUUUUUAGUAAAAAAGAAAGAAAAAAAUGAAAAAGGUUGAAUCAAAAGGCAGAUUAAAAAUAUGAUUCAAUACAUUACCUCUAUGUUGAAAAUUUCUUUGAUAAAUUUUAUUACUUCUUAAUUGGUUUAUAUUCUUUUUGAUCAAGUGUCCCAAAGGCCAAAACAAGCUGAAUUGGACCUACAGGAAUAAUGUUUAUAACUAUUGGGCCUUACAUCUAAUGGGCCAAAACCAACCCAAUAUCAAUAUGUGUAUUAUCAUUCAUUUUAUACUUGGGCCUUAAAAUUUUUAUUCUCUUACAUUCAUUUUUAUGUUUCGAUCAAAUAAGAGAGUAGGUAGAAAACUUAGUGAGACCAACAAAUUUUAACAGCUUUUAGGUCAUUCAAUAGAUCAAAGAAUUAAUGUGUUGUUCGAUCUGACUUCAUAGUUUAACUGAAAAUGAAGUGUUGGGUCAAAAUAUCAACUCGUCGUGUUGGACCGUCUGUUUUUUUUGUAGAACAUAGCAACAGCUUUAAUUGACUUGACAAUAAAUAUUGAGUGCCAUAGAAGAAAACUAUAUCAGUUGCUUAGAAAAUUGUCCCAUUUUCAUUUUCAUUUUCCAUUUAUCAUAAAUGAUAAGUGUGUGCUUUCGUAACUACAUAGUCUUACUUAUAAAUAAAUUUCUUUGACAAAAAAAAAAAAAAACUUAUAAAUAAAUUUAAUGAAAUGUCAACAUUUGGGAUUAUAUGGAUUACAGGAUUAGGCGUUGGGCCUCUAGCAACGUCCUACGUGUACUGUUUUGUCAAUCGAUGUAUUUGAAAUUACUUUUUUCCUCCCUCGUUAGGUCAAUUCCAAUUCUGUUUGUUCUAUUUUUCUUGCCGUUUCUAAUCAUACAAUAAAAGCUUUAAGCCCAGUGUUCACUUUAACCAGUCAUUUUGUGGUUACAUUAUCUUUUACUUUUCUUUUUUCAUAAAAAUCUCUUUUAUAAAGUUUAAAUUUUAUGAAACUUUAUGAAAUAGAGACUCGUUAAAUUUAAAAUGUAUAAACGUACGCAUUCAUACAAUAAAAGCAUGCAUUGGGUGAAAUUUGGUGUGAACUUAUAAUUAUCCCAUUCUUUACAUUCACGUCUGUUAAAAUGCGUGACACGAUCCAAUACCCCAUACCAUUUUGUUCCCAUCCUUUUUUUAUUAUAUGAUUUUUUAAAAUUCAGAUUUCUUUUUUUUUCUUUUUCUUUGUCAACAUUCAUUCUGCAUUUAUCGGAACGGACGAAGCUGGGAAUUAUAUCAGAACAAUUUGGAAUACUUUAUGGUUAGAGUUGCUGCUAUAUAUUAAAAUGAUACCAUGUAUGAUGUAACAUAUCUAUCCAUAUUAACUAAGAAUAUAUUAGAAAUGGAUGUCAACAAAGUGACGCGAUUCCACGUAGAGCUUGUCGAUUUGUCAAAUCUUAUUAUUUAGGUAAUUACCAGUAUUUAUAUUCAUAAGAAGCUUGUAGUUUUAUGACCGUUCGAAUUUAUAUUUAUUUUCUUUCUAAAGUUCCUUCACUAGUAUCUUUUUUGGUUUCUUAUGUAUUUGAUGAAAUACCAUAUAGAUUUCAUAAUUAGUGCACAUGAAAAAAAAGAGAGAAGAAUCUCCCAUUUAAAGAAAAUAAAGGAAAAAGAGAAAUGGACGGUGAGAUACAUGAAUCAUUGUUAAAUGGACUAAAACAAGCACAUAAACUGUGGGCAAUGACAUAAAAUCAUAAAUAUUCAACAUAUGCAAGUUCAUGAUUAGUAGGAAGGAAAUUAGGUAUAAAUGACGAGAAAGUUUUCUCGUCAAAACUGAACACAAAUAGAUUCUUUAAUGUUUUAUAUGUGGAGAUGAUUUUGAGACUACACAACAACAAUUGUGUAACUAACGGUCAUGGUUUAUAAUGAAGUUAUAGUAUAUAGAUUUUGAUAUAUUGUAAAAUUAAAUAUACUCAAAUAUACCUUGGUGUACAUUGUAUUUGGGGUAAGAUAAAAAAUGUAAUAGAUUUUGUCCGGCCGGUUCUCUCUCGUGCACGGCAAGAACUAAACCAAGGCGUACCAAAGAUUCGGAGUUUCACAUCAAUCCAUCCACUAGUUGCUAAUAAAUAAGAUUAGUGCUAAAAAAAAAAGAAAAAAAAGAUUAGUGCUAAGAAAAGAAAUGGUUCUGAUUAGGAAAAUAUCACAAUGGCAGCCCAUUAAAACUGGCAAUUUUUCUCCCUCCUCUCUCUUUUUUUUUUUUUUUCUUCUAAAUAAAAGACAUGUCUUUGAAAUUUUGUGAACUUCUCAAUUAGGUUUGCAUUUUAAAUAUAUAUAUAUAUAUAUAUAUAUGUACAUUCCAUUAAAGAUUUCGAUCUCAUGUUCAGUUUCUAAAUUAGCUAAUUAGGCUUUCGAUAGAAUGUAAACAUAGUUUUGCCCUUUCAGAAUGCAAUAAGAGUAAACCACCUCCCAUAGACAAGAUCAAAUAAACCAUAUUAUUGUUAACAUGUGCAUCACCUUGUUUUGCAUGUAAGCAAUUUGGUUUGUACAUGAUGAUGCACAGUUUAUAAAUAAAUAGUACUACAUAGUACAAAAUUAAAAUCAAUAAUCAAUAAUCAAAUACUUAAUUAGUGAUUCCGUAAAGAUAAUUGGAUGAAUGGAGAGUUGGAGAGGUAACCACAAGGUGGGUCCAUUUGCACCCUGAAUUUGACGCAGACUUUUAUCAAAUAUCACGAUUAGCCAUCAAUUUUAGAGGUCCAUUUCCGACAUUAACUUCUAAACUACGGUCAAACCGAAAGUGUAAAACAAUAAUAAUUAAUACUUUUGUUGUGCAAACAAUUACAUAGAUAUUUUAACUAAGUAAAUACCAGAAUUGGCUCUCUUUUUAGCGGUCUGUCUACAUAAUAACUACAAAAUAUUUUAGCUCUUCAUCAUAUUAUAAAUUUGUUAUCCAUUAUAAGUCAACGUAAUAUUUUGAACACAAUAAACAGUUUUAUAGACCAUUUUAUAACUAAUAAUCAUACUUGUACAACUGUACCACAAAAACUAUGUUAUAGGAAUUUAUAUAUGUAUAUAUGUAUAACAUUUGCGAUAUACAUAUUUAAUAUUAAUAUAUAUGAACACAACAAAUGAUUUUAUAUGUAUCACGCUAAAAUUUUAUUUAUUUUGCCUUCACUAAUCUGCAUUAUUUUUACUGAUCAAAUCUUAUACCAAAUAGAAAAACACUAAACUCUUGAUCAUCCACGAUGGACCAAAGAAAGUUCGACGCCAUACCUAGCAGAUUCGAGCCACAUAUAUUUUUAACCAUUUUAACGAUAUUUUAUAAGAAGCUGACUAGAUUUUAUUAUUAUUUUCUAUGUGCGAACAAGAUAAGAUUAUUAUAAAUAUAAAAGGUAUACAAAAAUCAUGAUCAUAUUAAUAUAUAGGUUGAUAUUGAUUGGAGAAAUAGUGAAUUCUUUGGUUUCCUAACCACUCAUCUGCAAAAUGUUUUUUGUAUUCGAUACAUAACCACAUACAAAUCUAGUGCUAACACUUGAGUAGAAUAUGGUCUUACCCAUAUAAUUGUUUUGGCCAUUAUAGAUUCAUCUGCUUUGUUGGGUCUGCUGGAUUGGUCGUGUUUGCUGGGCAGGCUAGGUUUCGUUCCAAUUGCUGGUCAAUCGGAUGGUAGUUUGUUGCUCGUCAUCUACUAGCCUUCUUUUGUGGCUCUUUUGAGUUGUGAUAUAGGUUCUAGGCAAGCAGUGGAUUCGACUUUCAUCUUUUCUCUUGCGAGGAGGUUACCAGUUUUAUGUCUGUAGAUGGCUGAAGAUGGGUCGACGAGGGUCCGUGUGUAAGAGGUGUUUGUCUUCCUUGGCUUGUCUCUGGUCGAAUCUCAAGGUUUUUUUCCUUGUGCUUAGUUUUUGCUCGCUUUCCUCGGCUGUUCUCUGUAUGUCCUGAUAUUGGUGGCUUCUGUUUCUAUGUUAUCGUUUGAGUCCUGCUUUCGCUCCUGUCGGUCUUGAUGAAGGGUUGUCUACGGUGGGCUAUCUAAGUAUAUACCCCUUCCGGUCUAUUGGGUUCUCUCCAGCGUUUACCUGUGCUAUGGGAAGCUUUGUGGGUUUCACUCCGUUUCAGUGGGCAGUUUUUUGUGCUUUGGGUUUUGCUCGCUUCUCAAGUGAAUUGAUUCCUUAGGUUUUUGUCUUUUCUUUAUCAUGAUGUUUAAUCCUCGUAUCUGGAGGUUUGCUACCUGCCAGCUUUGGUUUCCCUUUUUUGGGCUUUAGCUUCCGGAGAUUUCUCCUUUUUCUUCCGGCAUUAAUUUUUAUCAAGGUUGUGUUAUGUUGUAUUGAAGAACUCUUUAUCAUUCUAAUAUAUAUUUCCCAGACGGAAAAAAAAAAUUCAUACUCUCUAGAAUCUGUCCAAAUGACUAAGAGUUAAAAACUAAAAAAUAAUGGUAAGUAAUUUAUCUAAAUCAAAAUAUCCGUGACGGUACAACAUUUGUCUAAACUAAACUAUAUUUGGUUAAACCUUAUUCACCAAUAUUUGAAAAUAAUAUUUAACCCCAACCAAUAUUAUAUCCAACGAUCCAAUUUCUAUCUAUCUAUUAAAAAAAAAAAAUUGUCCUAAAAACUAUGUGAACUCAGAGCAUACAUGUAAUAGUACAAGCAUAAGACCAGUGCAAAAAUCACAACCAUCUCAGCGAUUAUUAAGUUUAAUGACCUUAUCUAGUCGGCCAUAUAAAGUUCAAGCCAAUAAUCAUUCUUAUAUAAAGGUUCAGAAAAGUUUUAAGUAGAGAAAUAAAAAAAAAAGAUCCGAAAACUAAAACGUGAUGGUGUCUUCUCACCAACCUUAUAAAAUAUGUUUUGAUAAACAAUUCAAAACAGUAUCGCUCUAGUGUUUUAGAAAUUAUAAAGAAAUUUCUAUCAAGUUUGUAGAUUUUGAAUUUGAUGAAUAGGAAAAAAAGGGUUGAUAUUUAAAUUAGGUUACUUAAGACUUCAAAGGAGGCCUAAUUAAAGUGAUAAACGGAUAUGUUAGAGAGAUUAAUCAGCUUGACCCACCUAAAAGCUCUAACCCAAACGGAUGGUUCUACUUUACUCGUAUUGCCUUUUUGUCAACGGUCCGUGUUUUACACGUUCACGACACAAGCGCGUGAGUCGUGACAUUUUUUUGUCUUCCAUUUUUUGCUUUCAUAUUUUCAUUUUCUUUUUUUUGCGCCAGUUUUCAUUUAUUUUCUUAUACUAAAAAAUUGUAUUAAUUUAAUGGAUAGAUUUUAUUUAUUUAUUUUCUAUGCCUUCAACAGAGAGAAUUAAAUCCAUACCUAAAUAGUAAAUACGCACUCCAUUUUUAGAAAACAAAUACACCUUCCCGUAUUAACCCCCACCACCACUAACGGACAACUGUUUAUAAGUUGUUAACUAAUUCAUUAGUCAAGUUUAUACAUAAAUAAUCAAACGCUGCUAAUUAGCCUAUCAAUGGAGUAUUAACACAUAACCUAGUCAAAAUUAUUUACUCUGAUUAUAAUUCACAUCUUCAUAUACAAGCUAUUACUAAUUACAGCGAAAACAAUUAUAUAAUUAGAUUAUCGUUAUCUUCUCAUUCUCCAAUUAUAUGUGUAUGUUUGCUCAAAAGCCUCCGGUAAUUCCAUUCUCAUAAUUUCUGAUAUUUUUUUUCAUUUACAGUAGAUAAAUUUCUAUCUACAUAAAUAGUAAAAGAAUUAUGAAGAGAUUUGACUAAUUAAUGUAUUCCAUUAAAUAUCAGAUUCACAUGUUUGUUGUGGAAAAAUAAAGUUUUAGGAAUAUUAUGAGAUCUUCUCUAUUUAAUAAUAUACUCAUUAAAAACCAUUAAAUAGGUUAUGUCUACUGUUGGAAAAGAAUUAAAACACACAAAAAAAAGAGAUUUUGGAUAUAAUUAUUAAAAGAGUUCAACCAAAAAAGGUUUUUAUAUAAAGAAAAAAAAAAGACAAAGAAAGAAAAACGCCGUUGAUGACCAAUUGAAAACGGAAGCUUGAAGAUGGAGUCACUAUCCUGUCAAAUAAAAAGACUUUGAAGGUCUUUGUCAUGUUUCUUUUCUUAAAAAAUAUUAAGGAAAACAAAAAUUAUCUAUCAAAACUAUAUACUUAAAUUUUUAAAAAUCAGAUUUUUUUUUUAAAAACCCUAGUUGAAUUAUAAAAUAAAGAAAAAAAGAGGCAAGGUAAAGGGAACAGAGGAGAGAGAAAAAGGUGUGAACAGUUAAUGGCGGAGCAGUAUAAGGAAUCGCUUCUCUCUAGAAAUCUUUUGCCAUAGCUGGAUUUUGGUUUGAUCUAUCUCUCUCUCUCUGUCUUGUAAUAACAAAGCUUAGAAAAAUUCUAUUACAGAACAAGAAGAAGGAAGAAGAAGAAGAAGCAAUAAAAAAUAUUCCCUUUAGUGAGAGAAAGCUCUCCUCAAGAAGUGAUAUCGAGAUGCGAGCUAGUAAAGGAACCUUCUCUGUACUUCUUCUCUUUCUCCUUUUGAUUCUCAUUUUGCCCAGUCUUUAAUUUUUUUCCUUUUUUUCUUCUUUCUCUCUCUAUUUCUUCUUUCUUGUUCUUCAAUUUCACUCUUAAAGCUUUGGUCGAGGUUAAAGUCAAGAAUCGUCCAAAGUCUUCUUCUUUUUCUUCCUUCAUAUUCUGAUAAAGUUUUCUUGGGUUGUGUUGGUAUUUGAUCUGUUUCUUGGUUCUUUUAAAGAUUGUGAUUUGGGUGGGGGGUUUUUUGAUCUAGGGUUUCUAGAUAGACAUUUGGAUUUGAUGUAGGACUUUGUUUCUGCUCUAAACUUAAAAAAAAAAGAAAAAGAAACUGUUUCUUCUCAUCUUAAAUCUAACCACCAUUUUUGUUGUGGGAGGUUUUUUUUUUUUUUUUAAUAUACAAAAAUCAAAGUCAGAGAUUGAGUUUGUUUUUAUUUUCAUUCAAAAUCUGGGGACAAAAAUAACAGAGAGAAGGAGGAGGAGAAUUAGAGAUUUGUUUUUAAGUAAAUAUUUUGAUUGUUUAUGGGAAUACCUGAUGGUUCACUGCUAGAUCUAAUUGUUAAGGUUAGGUCUUGGAUAACUUUGGAUUCAAGUGAUUCUUUGUGCUUGUCUUCAUCUAAACAAGACUUUGAAAUUAUGCCAAUCGUUUCCAAAAUGUGUCAUGACUGUGGAACCAAGGUGGAACAAGGUUAUUGUUGUCUUAGUUGUGGUUCUUGUUGGUGCAAGAGUUGUUCUGAUAGUACAGAAGAGAGCAAGAUGAAGUUGUGCAGAGAAUGUGAUGGAGAGGUUCGUGAGUUAAGGGGUAAGAGCUAUGAUAAGGUUCAUCCCCGGGAUAGUCCUGAUCCGCCUUCUUCUCUUGUUACCGAAACCGAGAGUCUUGCUUCGAGUCUUGAAAUCCGUGAUUGUAGGAACAUGGCUUCUAUUCGUUGCUAUCCUAGCAGGUAUUCUGCGAUAAAGUUUCGAUUUUUACAUUCAUUUAUGAGUAAAGUUACAAUUUUUGUGAUCAAUUAGGAGUCUUUAAACAUGUUGGAGUAAGUGUAUGUUUUGUGUGUGUUUGCAGGGGAGAGGAAGAAGAGGCUAGAUAUUGUGGUAAACAGUUGUUAAGCCCUUCAAGUGAAUACUAUCAGGACAGUUCAGAUAUAGAGUCGGGUAGUGUUAGUGCUAGACAUGAGCUUUUUAGUUGUAAAUCUUCUGCUGGGUCCAGUCCUCACGACAGUCCAUUAAGGAACAAUUUUAGUCCUCUUGGGCGCUUUGUACAGCACGCGAAAGACCUAAGAAGCCCUACUGUUUGUUCUUUUGAUAAUCAUCAAGAACAACUCAUGGCUGGUAAUUUAGUUAAGCUACGUCAGGGGGUAUUGGAACAGGAAGAUCACGAGGAGGAAGAGGAUAAGUUGCAACCGCCGUUGGAUUUUGAGAACAACGGCCGCAUCUGGUAUCCUCCACCACCGGAAGACGAGAAUGAUGAUGCUGAGAGUAAUUACUUUCAAUAUGAUGACGAAGAUGAUGAGAUUGGGGACUCUGCUACCGAGUUUUCAUUGAGUAGUAGCUUUUCUAGCCACGUUCCUACAAGAGAGAAACUGGGAGAAAAUAGCAAUGAACCUCUUCGAACCGUGGUGCAUGACCACUUCCGAGCUCUUGUUGCAGAGCUAUUGCGUGGGGAGGAGCUUAGUCCAUCUGAUGAUGGCAGUGCUGGGGAAUGGCUGGAUAUUGUCACUGCUUUAGCGUGGCAGGCUGCAAAUUUUGUAAAGCCGGAUACUCGUGCAGGCGGCAGUAUGGAUCCCGGGAAUUAUGUGAAAAUAAAAUGUGUAGCAUCGGGAAAUCAAAAUGAGAGGUAUAAUUAUCUGUUGGAACCUUUUCUUUUCAAACUUUUGCCACUAUUCGUUGCAUUAGUAAUUUAGUAUUGUCCUCUGGCUGAUGAUUAUUAAUUGAAUACCUUGUUUCUGCAGCAUUCUCAUCAGGGGAAUAGUGUGUAGCAAGAACAUUACGCACAAGCGAAUGACAUCACAGUACAAAAAUCCAAGGGUGCUGCUUUUAGCUGGGUCUCUUGAGUAUCAGAGAGUUGCAGGCCAAUUAGCAUCCUUUAACACGUUGCUUCAACAGGUUGGUGUGUUACUGUUUCUAUAUGAUGGCUGCAUAAUAUCCUCUUGAUUAACAAGCUGAACAAAACUGAAUUAUGUGUGUUGGACAGGAAAAUGAACAUAUGAAGGCGAUAAUUGCAAAAAUAGAGUCCCUUCGUCCUAAUGUUCUUCUGGUAGAGAAAAGUGCAUCUUCAUAUGCCCAACAAUACCUUCUAGAGAAGGAAAUUUCGUUGGUGCUCAAUGUGAAAAAGUCAUUGCUGGACCGUAUAGCCCGUUGCACCGGUGCUGUUCUUUGCCCCUCACUAGAUAGUAUUACUACUGCUCGAUUGGGUCACUGUGAGCUGUUCCGGACUGAGAAAGUGUUGGAGCAACAUGAAGCUGGCAAUCAGUCAAACAGAAAACCAUCAAGGACAUUGAUGUACUUUGAAGGGUGUCCUAGGCGCCUAGGUUGCACGGUAUGCUCAUUUAUUGCUUUCACGGGUUUUUUUACUCAUAAAGCUUGAACCUAUGUAGCUAAGAAGUCUGCUACCUUAAGUUUACUAUCUUCCUUCCGGAGUGUACUUGUUAUUUGUAUAAACUGUUCACCAGUUCUUCAUUCUCAGUUUGAUUAGACUUUUCUGAAACUUGUGCAGGUUGUGCUUCGGGGAAGUUGUCGCGAGGAGCUAAAGAAGGUUAAACACGUUAUUCAGUACGCUGUAUUUGCAGCUUAUCACUUAUCACUGGAGACUUCAUUCCUUGCGGAUGAAGGUGCUUCUCUGCCUAAAAUUAGACUGAAACAACCGGGAAUGGUGCGGACAGCAUCACAAAGGAGGAUCAUUGAUGAAGGCAUUUCCUUAAUAACUCAAUCUCCUACAGAAACAGAUAGUCAAGCUUUGAUUGAAACAGCUGCACAUGAAGAUGAAAAUACGGCCCUGCUGCCUGAACUUGAGGUUUGUGAAUCAUUGUGUGAGGAUUUUGAUCCUAGUCAAAUAUUCCCACCAUCUUCUGGCGUAAUUGCUUCUGAAGUUGAGACUGAACAAUCUGAUGCCCUGAAUGGAGAUUUUGCCAGUAAUUUGGUGACAAGAUCAUAUUCUUCGAAUCAGUUAAAUGAUUUGCAUGAACCCACUUUGUGCUUAAGUAGUGAAAUCCCUGAAACGCCGACUCAACAGCUGAGUGGUGAAGAAGAGAACGGCAGAGGUGAAGAAGAGAACCAAUUAGUGAACACUCAAGAUUUACCACAAAAUGAGAGCCUCUAUGAAGAUGAUGUUUCCAGCGAGUAUUUCUCUGCUGCGGACUCUCAUCAGAGCAUAUUGGUCUCAUUUUCAAGCCGUUGUGUAUUGAAAGAAUCAGUAUGUGAACGCUCACGACUCUUGCGGAUUAAGUUCUAUGGAUCAUUUGAUAAACCUCUCGGGAGAUAUUUGAAAGAUGAUCUAUUCGAUAAGGUAGCUCUUUCAUCUAAAAUGUGAAUCCAUUUUUUUGUCUUCUACAAAUUCCAUGAAAUAAGCAAUCUAAUAUAUAUCCUAUUCCCUGGACAGACUUCUAGUUGUAGAUCUUGCAAGGAGCUGGUGGAUGCGCAUGUGCUCUGCUAUUCUCAUCAGAAUGGAAACCUUACUAUCAAUGUUAGACGUCUCCCUUCCAUGAAGCUUCCUGGUGAACAAGAUGGGAAGAUAUGGAUGUGGCAUCGCUGCUUAAGAUGUGCACAUGUAGAUGGAGUCCCACCUGCUACUCGUAGAGUAGUUAUGUCUGAUGCAGCAUGGGGACUGUCUUUUGGAAAGUUUUUGGAACUUAGCUUUUCGAAUCAUGCAACUGCGAAUCGAGUUGCAUCUUGUGGUCAUUCGCUUCAAAGAGACUGCCUUCGAUUCUAUGGGUAACCACGCUGUAUAAUCUCAUUCUCUAAGGUUAUCUCAAUGUUGUUAAAGCACUAUUAACAUUAUUGUUUUGCAGAUUUGGUAACAUGGUUGCGUUCUUUAGAUAUUCUCCCAUCAAUAUACUUACGGUCCUCCUCCCCCCGUCGAUGCUUGAGUUCAACAGCCAUCCUCAACAGGAGUGGAUACGGACAGAGGCAGCUGAGGUAGAUUUUAAGAAAAAGUUUAAGGCUCUUUUGCUUCAGGUUUUGGAUAUGCAAAUGCUAUACCCUCAUAUACUUCUCUGUUUGUGCAUUUUACAGCUUGCUGGUAAAAUGCGGACUAUGUAUGCGGAGAUAUCUGGUAUGCUGAACCGCAUGGAAGAAAAAAGCAGUUUGCUGGAACCUGAACAAUCUGAAGCAUGUGAUCUACAGAGUCGCGUCAUCGGAUUAAAAGAUCAACUCGUGAAAGAAAAAGAUGAAUACGACGUGAGCUUCUGGUUCUUUUGCUUAUGCUUCUUCUGUUUCCCUUUUUUAAAGACUUCUUGUGCUUCUGAAAUCUUGAAUUUGAUGGAAUCUUCCUCAUCAUGAAUAGGAUGCGCUGCAACCUAUUUUUGAGGAGAAUCUGCAAAUUCAGGGAAGUUUGGAUAUCCUAGAGCUGAAUCGAUUGAGACGGGCACUCAUGAUUGGUGCUCAUGCUUGGGAUCAUCAGCUUUACUUGCUAAAUUCUCAACUCAAGAAAGCAUCAGUUUUUAAAACUGGUGAUGACAAUGCUUCUCGGAAUCCAGAGAUGCAGGAUCCUCCAAAGAUUGACCGUAAAAUGCAGGAGGGUUCAGAUGAGAGGGAAGAACAAGCCCAUACUGAUUCAGAAGCUAAUGGUGAUAACAAAGAUCCGGAAAGCAUGCCCUCCCCUGGCACUUCUCUGUCUGAGAGGAUAGAUUCGGCGUGGUUGGGCUCGUUUCAAAAUCUAGAGAAAGCCGAGACAAUUGCUGAGACAGAAGGCUUUUCAGCUGUUAAUUCUCCUCUCCGGAGACUUGCCAGGCCAAUCCGAGUCCAGUCUUUUGAUUCAGCGAUACGAUUUCAAGAACGGAUCCGAAAAGGUUGGCCACCAUCUUCUUUGUAUCUCUCGACCCUCAGAUCUUUCCACGCUUCUGGUGAGUAUAGGAAUAUGGUGAGGGACCCUGUUUCAAAUGUGAUGAGGACUUACUCACAGAUGUUGCCACUGGAAGUACAGAAAUUGGAUCUGAUUGUUGGUUCAACGCCUACUUACAUCUCUUCAGCAUCUCAAAUGGCUGAUGGGGCGCGGAUGCUGAUUCCUCAACGAGGCCUCAACGAUAUCGUGGUUCCUGUAUAUGAUGAUGAUCCGGCAAGUGUUGUAUCAUAUGCUAUCAAUUCAAAGGAAUAUAAGGAGUGGAUCGUUAACAAAGGUCUCGCUUCUAGUAGUAGUAGCAGCAACUUGAAUAACAAAGAGUCCGAACCUUCCACCUUCUCGACUUGGCGUUCUCUGUCGAUGGAUGUUGAUUACAUUCAACACGCGGUGUAUGGGUCUUCUCAAGACGAUAGAAAGUCUCCGCAUUUGACCAUUUCUUUCAGCGACCGCGCUUCUUCUUCCUCUACUGCAACUGAAGGUAAAGUGAAGUUCUCUGUGACGUGUUAUUUUGCAACGCAGUUUGACACUCUAAGAAAGACAUGCUGUCCGAGUGAAGUGGACUUUGUGAGAUCCUUGAGCCGGUGUCAGAGAUGGUCUGCACAGGGAGGGAAAAGCAAUGUUUACUUUGCCAAGUCAUUGGACGAGAGGUUCAUCAUAAAACAAGUCGUCAAAACCGAGCUGGAUUCUUUCGAGGAUUUUGCACCUGAAUACUUCAAAUAUUUGAAGGAAUCACUCAGUUCCGGGAGCCCCACUUGUCUUGCUAAGAUUCUCGGUAUCUACCAGGUUAGUGACAGUAUAAGAACUGUAAACUUGUAGGACUUUGAAAUGGAAUAAUUAAGCAUGCAAACGAUUGAUUGGAAUGCUAUGGCUUGCAGGUAUCAAUUAAACAUCCGAAAGGUGGAAAAGAGACAAAGAUGGAUUUGAUGGUGAUGGAGAAUCUCUUCUACAACAGAAGAAUAUCGAGGAUCUAUGAUCUCAAAGGAUCUGCACGGUCACGGUACAAUCCAAACACAUCCGGAACAGACAAAGUUUUGUUAGACAUGAAUCUGCUUGAGACACUGCGCACAGAACCGAUAUUCCUAGGAAGCAAGGCCAAGCGAAGCCUGGAAAGAGCUAUAUGGAACGACACCAACUUCUUGGCUGUAAGUAAUCUCAUAACUUUUUUGUUCUUAAACGUUUUGGUUAAUCUGUUUGGCUCAUUAUCUCUCUCCCUUGUUAGUCUGUGGAUGUGAUGGACUAUUCAUUGCUGGUUGGGUUCGACGAAGAGCGUAAAGAACUGGUUCUUGGGAUCAUCGACUUCAUGAGACAGUACACAUGGGACAAGCACCUUGAGACUUGGGUCAAAGCUUCAGGCAUUUUGGGUGGACCCAAGAAUGCUUCUCCAACCAUAGUCUCACCAAAACAGUACAAGAGGAGGUUUAGAAAGGCCAUGACCACUUAUUUUCUCACUGUUCCUGAGCCAUGGACCUCUUGAGUGAUAAAAGAAACCAUUUUUCAUCAUUCUUUUGUUUACUGAUUCCAAUUUGUUCUUCUCAAAAUAAAAAGGGAAAUUGGUUAACAGACACGUAAUAUACAGGUUCGAACCUGACUGAUUGAUUUAUCUUUUUUUUUUUUUUUUUGGUGUGUUGGUUUCUCUGAGUUCUAGAGAAUUGUAUAUUGUAAUUAUCGGCCAAACUAAAGCCCCCCAAAUUGAAAGAAAAAAGAUACUAAUGAUUUGCCUUUUGCUUAUAUCUCUUCUCUUUUGUCUUAAUAUCUGUAAUUCAUCCUUAUUUUCAGAUUUUUGACAUAGAAACUGAUUGUGUUGCAGUGUCAUGUAACAGAACCACAGACAUGAUAAGUGGAUAAGAAACAUUAUAAGCUUUGUAUCUCUCUUAAGAAUUGUGUUUUGUAACUAAACUAAAAAUAAGAAUAAAAUAGAGGAAAACAAAUUAGAAAUCACAGGUCUUCUGCUUUGCUCUUUUCAAGAAUUCCAACCUCUUCUGCAACCAAAAUGAUCAAAGAAGAUUUUCUUCAAAAAUUAUCUGAAUGACACAACUUAUUCUACCACUUGUUGUUAGUAUGUAUAUAUUUUUCUUAAUUUUGAAUAGACUAGAAGAUGUAAGUUGUGACAUAAGUUGGAGCACAUUUGUUUCCUAGUGUAAUUAAAGAAGCAAGAAACAUGGCAUGAGAAACGGAUCGAUGUUUCAACAAAAAUAAAAUAAGAUCAAAGCCCUUAAAAAAUAUUGACCACCUCAUGUGAUUUUGGCACCUUCUUCUUUUUCUUCAAUCCCAAAGUUUCUUCCUCCAUUACGAAGCAAAUGUUGUUGUCUUUGAUGAAUCAAACCACUUGGUAUGUGAAGGAGACAAAGUUGUGUGAUCUUGUUGGAGAAAUCAGAGCCACUCUCACUCUCUUUCCUCAGUUUCUCAAUUUUCCACUUUGGUAACUUCAACUUCACGCUACUCACUUCUCUCUCUUCAUCAUCAACCUCCUCUGUCUUCUUCUUCAUUACCGAGAGAUCAGAUGAUGAUCUACGAGACAGCUUCAGAUUUUCUAGUCUCUCCUUGGCACUCAUCUGGAUUCCCGACCGAACCCUUCUUGGGGUUCUCUCUUUCCAUGUUCUGCCACACGGGUUUCGAAAGAUUACUCAAAAAGAUUCUAACUUUGGAAGAAUAAGAAUAAUAAUAAUACCUUGGAAGUUCCACCAUGAAGUAAAGCCUUUUGGAUUCCAAGUUUUGGUGUGGCUCUAAGGGCUUUGCUCUGAUCCCAAAUCGCUUCACUGCUUCGGAUUCCAAGAGAAUAUGGCCCGGAAAAUCUUUAACCACUGUACCAGCUUUCACCGGCGUUUUCAGCUUGAAACUCUCGCCAUUGAUGUUCAUGAUUUUCGCAGUUUUCUUGCUUACCAAGCUAUUACCCAUUUUGGUGAAUGAUGUUUUGUAAAACGUUGGUAUCUUUUAAGUUCACAAAUGAGAUGAAAUUUUUUUGGUGGGUGGGUGCCUAUUAAGAGCUCAGUAGUUCAAGGUGGGUGCUGUGUUAGAUCAGAUCAUUAUAGAUUUUGGAUUUGAUUUAUAGUUGGUUGCUGAUGAUAGUGAACCAUUUCUUGGUCAACAAAAUGCCAAAUCUUGAAAAAUAUUUAAACAAUGAGAAGACAAAAGUUACGUCGCAUCUCACUAUCAAUCUUGAAAAGACCAAUAACAACCCAAAACUUAUGGUUAAUUUUAUAAAUUGAAAUGGAAAAUGUGUACUGUUCUUCACUUAGACCAUUGUAUAAUUUGGAAGUUUUGUGACCAAUGUUUUCUGAGAAAAUGACACUUGCGUUAAUCACUCCGAUUAAUGUGGAAAAUUACGUUGUCCUUUUUUUCCCAAAGGGCACGUGAAGAGAUUGACUUCUAACGAAUUUGAAAUCAAAAGCUAAUUUGAUUUCUCUUUCUAGGAACAGUAACAAACGACCUUUAUCAAUCAUAUGAUAUGUUGGAAGUAACAAAUCAAUACAAAGGUGAGUCAAAAAAGAGUUCGAUUCUCGUUAACUCUUUUGACUCCACCACUUUCUCAAAUGGAAAUUAAUUAGUCAUCCAAAAACUCAAAAAUAAAACAGGACAAAAUAAACAGAUCAAUAGCCAGCAAAACUAAAUUAAUUCUUGUUAAGGGCUAUUUAGAGUGAACCUAAUUUUCGGGAUGAUUUACGGAGAAGCUCUAGCAAAGAAUUAGCUUUUCGUUUAGCUCUCUCUGUACCAUCUCUUGAUAGUUCCAUCAAUGGAACAACAGCUCCAAGUCUACCAAUGGAGAUUAGUUUUUCAGUAUCUCUCUUGCAAAGAGAUAGUAGUAUCGCAGCUGCGUUCUCUCGGUUUCGCGGUUGAUCCUUCUGGAGACAAUCUAUCAAAGGUGGUAUAGCUUUGGCUCUCAAAAUCGCAGUUUUCGCGACUUGGUUACUAGCUAGAACCGAGAGUAUGGUCAAGGCUUCAUCGGCCAUCCUGUCGCUCGAGGAGUCAGUCAGCAUUUUCACCAAUGGGUGUACUAUACCGGCUCUAACCGCUCUGCCUUUGUUUCCCUGAUAAAUACACAAGUUGAACAGAGCCGUAGCUGCGUCUUUCUUCCCUCUGACGCUUCCAUACUGAAGCAGAUCCACUAAGGCUAGUAUCGCACCCGAUGCGCCUAUUAUGAUCUUGUUUUCAUCAGCUAACGAAAGGCUAAAGAGAGUUGCUGCAGCGUUUUCUCUAGCUUCCAUGGUUCCAGCUCGGAGGACUAGCACUAUAGACGUGACUGCUCCUGCAAGCAUGAUCAGUUCUUUGUUGUGUUCGUAUAUGGAGAGGUUAAGAAUGCAAGUGACAGCAUUUUCCUGCGUUUUAGUGUCCUCUGAGAUCAAAAGCUUGACCAAAACAGGGAUGGCUCCUGCUUCUGCAAUCAGAAUUCGGUUAUCCGUGCUUGUUUUUGACAGAGAGCGGAUUUCAGAAACCGCAGUCCUGCGCUCUUCGAUUGAUCGGCUAGAGAGUUUACGAACCAAUGCCCGGAUCGCUGACAUGCCUCCACUUAGAUCACGGAAAGACCCAUCAGGGUUUUGGGUCCUACCGUUCAUGUAACCACCUGGUUGCUCAAUGUUGUGCUUAGUGCACCACUGUGAUAUCAGGCUUCUGAGGACAUAGUUUGGAGUAAGAGUAAAGUUUUUGAGUUUCUGCUGGGUCUUUGGGCAUCUUAGAUUUCCACAGUCUAUCCACCUCUGUAUGUACGACCUCUCGUAUGUCUGUCAACGAAGAGGGAAGAUCAUUGUUAAGGUUUCAAAUCAACAACCAUACGUUAGCGCUAUGUAAAGAUUUGAUAUUUAAAAUCAGACCUGUCCUGUGGAAACAAUAGCAGGAUCCUUCAUCAGUUCCAGAGAGAUUGGACAAAGAAAAUCCUCAGGGAUUGUGAGUUUAUCCGAUUUCUGUGAGUCAUCGCUGUUCUUGGUAACUACUUUCUCUAAUCUCUCAUCAUCAGCAUCCUUUGAUAAAAAGAAGGCCAAGGAAACCGAAGAGCUCUUCCGAGGAGGCGGUGAUUCAAAUUUCUUCUCAUCUGAUAAAGGAAUGUUGGAAUGCACAGUCUCUGGAAUACUCUCCAACUUCUCAAUAACUUUGCUCUUUGUAUUGCUUGAGGCAUCUUUCUCCAUUGGCUCAGAUAAAGCACUCGAGAACUUCUUCGAAUUUAACGAUCCAUAUCUCUGCAUUGCUCUUCUUAACUGCAAUCUUGCUAGCUCCACCUGAUCACAAGAAAGAACAUUAGAAACACCUCCAACCAGACACAGAAAAAACAAAUGUUCAUAGUCACGAACGAACUUUACCUGUUCGCGGACUUCGUCAGAGAUGUCAUAUCGAUCAUAUGGCAAAUCACCCAAUGCUUUCUCCAACUUCCAUGUAACACAUUGGAACUGGAAUAAAAUUCUCUUGGCAGCCCCAUCCUUCAAUCAAGAUUACACAUCAAAGUUUAGAUAAUUUCUCAUUUGUUUGUUAAACAAUGCUUGUGAACUACACAAAUGUCAACAACAAGAGCUUCCAAUCUAAAAGACUAAAAACAAAUUCUUCCUCCAAAAUAAUGAAUCUAAAGAAUAAUCAUUUCGUUUAGUGAAAUCGAAAAGCUUCUCAAAUUCAAUUCCAUUUUCAAUCGUAGAGAAUGCUUACAGAGGACUCGCGAGCUUGGAAACUAGUAGCUGAAGACAAAAGACGCUUCGCGGCUUGAAGCCCCACAACAAGAUCAGACCACCAAUCACAUUCAUAAGAAAUCAACGACGACGAAGCAUCAGAUUCCGGCGGAGGAGGAGAAGAAUCCCUAAUCUCCUCAAUCAAAUGCGUUAAGAGACCAACACGUCGCGCGAGAUCGGCACAAUCCUUCUUAAACACCCCAAAAUUCACCGGAACCUCAUUGAUUUCAGAGAUAAGACCGAUCAGAGAAGCGGGAGUGAUAGCUCCACCAGCCAUUACGCCGUCGCAUACGGCGGCUUGAAAUUCGAAUUUGGGACUUGCUCUCGCUGGCUCGCUUCUGACACAGAUGCGUCUCUAUCGUUUAUGUUUAUAUCCAACGAAGCCAUGUGGCGAAAAAAGAUCAGUCCCUGUUACGACACCGUUUUGGUUUCAGUGUUUUUUUUUUCCUUUUUUUUAUUCAGUUUAAGUCCAAAUAUGGAUUUUUUAAAAAAAUUAUUUUAGAUAAAGAUUUUUGUAAUACAUUAGAAUAAUACAAUACAACAAAACUGGAUAAUUGAGAGCAAGAUUCCCGGAGCUUGAAGAGAAGAGGAUACAGUUGUUAAAAAAGAUUCAAUUAUUAUGAUUUUGUAUUGGAGCCAAACUUUAUAAUAGAAACGAACCAUACUUUUAAAUUCAAGAAAAUUCAACUUUUAUAUUUAUCUAAGGAUAUGGUUUGUUGCGUGCUUAGUUGUAAAGUCGAUCUUGUAUUAUUGUAUUUUAUAGUUGUGUUGAAAUUUAUUAUAUUCUAAUGGAGUUAUAAGGAAUAAAAAAAUUGACCAAUUGUAUAUCUAUAUGUAUUAUAUAAUCUUAAAUGGUAAUGAAUAGUCAAAUUAGUUAGUUUUUCUAUAUGAAAUGAAACUAAGAUAAAAUUUGCUGUCCUUAGAUGCAUUGCAUUGGAAUGUUUAGAUGGUAUAUGAUCUGUCUUACACUUAUUGAAAGAUGGAAAAAAAUAUUUUCUCUGUAAUUACCUAAUUAUAGCUUUAUAUGUUUUCUUUUCCUUUAAAAAUUUACUUUUUAAGUGUAAUUAUUGUUUGUUUGAUCGUUGAUUUGUUACUUUUUGAAAUCUUUUACUCCUUUUUAAAAAGCAGCAGUGUGGUUUUUCCCAGACCAAAUUAUUAUACUUUUUGAGAUUUUCUUCGCAGGAUCCAAGAAAAACUCAUUUGAAAGACCUGAGAUAUGCGCUUAUUAAAUGUUGAAAACUACUCCAAAGCAAAUGUUGAAAACAAAAUAAAAAGUACAUAACCAUAAAACUUAAUAUGCGCUUAUUAAAAUUUCAUUCUUUCAUACAAUACAAACACAUUAAAUCAAAAAGGCUACAAAAUAUAUGACUCGUAAUUAGCCAUACGAAUGUUAAGUAAAAAUUAAAUAGUUUGAGGACGAUAUGCUCACAUGGCAUAUGCUAUGAAUUAACAUCAUUUUGGUGAGUAUUGUAGCAUGAUCGUAUCUUAGCCCUAUUUAGCUACUCCAGGAGCAAAAGUUCAUGGGCAUGAAAACGAAAUGGUCGAACAUGACCCGAAUUUUUAACAACUUUUUAGAAGAUUUGAAGCAUAUAUACAAUUUGGGACCUAUAAUUUUCUGAAACUAUUUUACAACAGUUUAAUAUACUUUUAGUAAAAUUUAUAAACAUGACUUACAAAUAGUGUGUAUUAAAAAGUUAUAUCGGUUUAACAAAAGAAAGGUUCAACCACGACAUGCACAUCAUAUAUCGGCCGCGUCCUCCAUGCCCGUGACUUCUGCGUCCUACAUAACAACCAAUAACAACUUGAAAAAUAGACAACAUUAUCUCUUAGACAUUAUUGUUAAGUUUGACUGGCUGGUUUCGUAAUUUUUUUUGGACAUAUGCAAAAAUAAAGAAAUCUACUUAAAAAAAAAAAAGAUUAAUGAAGAGGGUAUUCGUCUGAGACUCUGAAUCAGAUAAAGAUUCUAAAUAACCUUGAAGUGUUUGAUAAGGCAGGUGAUUUUUUCUUUGAACAUCCACACAUGCACAACUCUCCACUGACCACAAUACGUACUCGCCGUUAUUUCUGGAAUUUAUGGGGUAGUUGUACUUGCGAAACAAAAGACAAAUAGUAUGAAAGAGAAGGUGAGAUCAGAGUUUAUGCAGUUGUGGAAACAACUUCAUUGAUAGUUGUAGAUUCUGCAAUAGUAUAAAAAAAACAUUAAUGAUGAUUGCAGUUCCUAUGAUAAAUGGGUCCAUUUUCUCAGCAAACAAUCUUCUUUCUACUUGUCAUCAAACAUUCGUUUUCUUUGGUCAUGCAGUUUGGUUUAAUACUAGAUGAUGUUUGAAUAGCGGUUGUACAAUUGUAUUUACUUUCAAGAGGACUUUAUUAAUUCUCAAUAUCACAAACAAAAAGAAAACUCUAUUAAUUGAUGUCUAAUAUGUUUACACCAAAGUCAAAUCUCAAACAAAGCAUACAAAUUUAUUAUGAACGUGUUUGUACUAGGUGGUGAGGUGAUAUUUGACUUAUAGUCUCCAUGCUUAAGACAUCUCCAUGCUUAAGACAUCCUUAAAUAGAUACAUGUCUUUUGGUGUUUAAGUAAACUAAUUUGCUUCCUUUAUAUCUUUAGUAAGUAAGUUUCGUAUUGAUAGAUUCCUUUGUGCGAAAAGAGAGUUUUAAAUUGCUUUUGCAUAAAGAGUAAAGUGUAGUUUGGAGGAAGAUGAACAUACUUGUCCAUUUUAAGAGAGUUAAUUAAUGCUUCCCGUCAAUGUGCAUCGCAAAUACAUUGCUCUAUAUAUUAGCUAAUUUCUUAUAGCUGGAUUGAUCCCAUAUUCAGCGGUUAUCGUCGGUUGGUUAUUAACGAUUUACUACUACUAAUCACCGAAAACAAAACCAGACAUUUAAGAGAAUAGUUGUUUCAACGGUCCAAUUCAGGAUUAACAUAUUUCAAACAUCGUUAUACAUCUCUCUAGUGAAUAUUAUAAUAUAGGGGCCUUUGUAAUGUAACAUUAUUUAGCAAGAUGUGUACAAAGAAAUACAACAAUUUUCAUUGGAAUAGAAGAAGCGUUUCUUGACCAGUUGAACCAUUGUUAGAGGAUUCACUAAAGUCUUGAAGGCAACGAGCUGGCAAAGAAGUCACUGUCGGGAUGAGAGCGAUGUUGAGGUCAGGCAAAUGACUUCGUCCGGUACUAGUACUAUCCUCCGAGCAAUUGGUACUUGGAAUGGGUAAAAUUGUACUUAUACCACAUGAUUCCGAUACUGAAGAAGAUUGAUCACUAAUAAUCUCUGUUUCAUGUUCCUUAUGUGAGGAAUUGAGGUAUCGUCUCGAAAUGUAGUUGGUGUGAUGGUGGAGACGAUGAUUGGUUGGGUCGAUUCCCAUUUUCAUGAGCUUCCUCUUUAAGUAAGUUUCCCAAUGGAUCCUAACUUCGUUGUCCGUUCGUCCAGGCAAUCUUCCCGCUAUCAAUGACCAUCUGAAAAAAACAUACCAUAAACAGUUAUUAUUAUCACGUACCGAACCCACUACUAUUGAAUUAAAGAAGAAGAAGAAUGAAUAAAUAAGAACCUAUUGCCAAGAAGUGCAUGAAGCUUGAGGAUGAGGUCGUCUUCAUCUUUUGAGAAGUUAAUUUGUUUAACUUCUGGCCUUACGUAGUUUCUACCUCUCAAUCGACAUCUUCUACCGCGGUGUUGCAUUCCUAAAAAUGAUUAGGGAUCAGAUUUCACAAAUUAAAACGAUAUAUCCACACAAACUCCCACAUGCAUAUCCACAUAUGUGAUAUUGUGAUAUAUAAGUUCUACAUCGACCUCUUUAAACUAUGAAUAAUUGGUCAUAUGAAUAGCCAAACACACGAAUGUUACUGUUUAUAUAAAAAGAAAAUAAGUUACCGGAAGGCGGAGAGAGAGCACGGAGGCGGAUCUUGUUCAUGUCUUUUUCAAAGUGAGAUUGGUUGAGUUAUGUUUUUUUUUUUUAAAAAAAAACUGUUGAUUGAUUAUGAGGUGGUUUGCGAGAAGCAAACUGAUAUAUAGGAUUAGGGGAUGGAUAGAGGAUAUAGGUUUGACUUGGACUGGUGGGUUGAGAGAAGCGUGCAUGCUCAUUUAAACAUUAAUGAACGAGGAAGAACAAGAAGAACACAUCAACCUUGUUAAUUGGUCCUACAUUUUGAAGUUGAAACAAAUAAAAACUGGUCCCAUAUAUGUUCAAAGCCAUUAGAAUUUGUGGAAUCAUAAAUGUGGAAAUAUGUCGCAUUUAAUUUGCCUUACCAGUACCAAUCCAAAUCUCACUCUUAUCCACAUUUUCGUAAAAUAAAAGUAUGGCUUCGAUAGAUACCUUUUGUGAAAUAUCAAAGAUAUAUACAUGUGUGUGGUAUCUCAAUAAUAGUUUCACUAAAAUGUGUGUGGAGUAUCAAACAAGAAGAAGACGAAGAAGAUAUUUGACAAGUGGCUUAAAAUUAUUUGGAUGUAUUAUUUGAUAUAAUAUCAGAAGUUUCCGAAUAUAAUAUGAAAAUAAACAAAUUAUGAGAAAACAGGAGGAAACCACAAAAUUAAAGAGUGAAGGUUCAGGAACAGAUAAGGGAGAAACAUGGGAGCAUUGAAUUGAAUUUGACUGGUGGUUAGGAACUUAGUAUACGAGGAAUUUUCCAAUUUCACUCACCUCUCCCCUCUCUCACUUACCCUACCCAAAAUCAUAUACUAAGCAAAAAAUAUUGUUAUUGGGCCCCUUAAAGCCCGUAAGUGUUAGCCCAAAAGCCCAUUAAAAAGGUGGCCGAGUUAAAAACAAUGAUAGCAAUAUUUCAAUAGAAGUAUUCUUAAGACUUUCUGUAUAAAGAUAUCACGAAUUCAAUCAAAUAUUUUCGUAUUUUCUGCACUCGUAAUUAUAAGUUGUUUAGUUUUAGAAUCAUAGCCACCAUUUAACAUCUUGUCACUUGACCAUUGCAAAAGGCCUCAUCAUCAUAUUGUCUUCAUGGUCCAAUAUCUGCAAUCAUAUAUAUAUAGUCAGAGUUCUAAAAGAAAAAAAAGCUAAAUUCGUUAUCAAUUUUUUAGUUUUUUUUUUUUUUUUUUUACUAGCUUACGUGACAAUGGUAGACAUAGCCUGGCUCUUGCGUUGCGUCGAAGGAGUAAGAGUCGUUUGAGUGAAUGUAAGAAAAUCUGACGAGGAUCUUCGUUACAUGCCCCGGCAUCAUCUUGAAUACGUUUUUCCAUCCCCGCUCGUGUACCGUCACCGCGGUCUUGUUUCCUCGAGCGUAUUUGCUAAUCUGACACUUGAUGGCGUCGUUUUCUUUAGUCAUACAGUCUGUGAACUCCUCACUAUUCACCAAUGCCGUUUGCUCCAAUACUUUGAACAAUCCCAAGUGAAUGUGCAAUGGAUGGUUAUCCUCCGUCAAAUUAAUCACUUCCCACACCUUCAUUAUUGUAAGAGUUAAUUAUACGAAUUAAACGGUUAAUAAAUUAGUGAAAUUGUAGUAAUAAAUACCUCGCUUGUGCCGAUUUUUGGAGUUUCUGUCACGGGAGCGUUGUACGGCAAACCGUUGAUGUAUAGAUGUGUUGGCUCGUCAGUGCUAGACACAUACUCGAACAUAGCAAUGUAACGUGUACGUGAGGAGGUUGAUACAUUAGCAGGCGGGUAAUCAAUUAACUUCUUCGGAAUAGUCGACGUGUCAACUUCUGAUCUGUUCUUGAUUUUAAACUUCAUGACUUUGCUGUUCUCUUCCGUGACAGGAUCUCCGGACGGGUAAGGAUAAGGUGCAUUGUUGGCAAGAAUUGCCGUUUUCGAUGUUGACUUUGAAAAGUCAACGACGACGUCGACAAUCUCCGACGGAGCGAGGAGGACCGAUUUGGUCGAUACUGGUUUCGCUAGAUAAGCUGAAUCAGAACCCACGACAAUGAACUCGAGACCGUUGGAGAAAAAGAACCGGAAAAACCUUGCGUUACUAGCGUUUGUGAUUCGAAAUCUAUAUUUCCGGCGACGGACAGUUAGUCGCGGCCAAGCUUUACCAUUCACAAUGAUGGCGUCGCCGAAAUACUCUGGCUGCCAUUGCGGAUGAAUCGACGGGUUGUUCCCUGUAGCGUUCAUGUAAAUGGAACCAUCUUUACGAAAACUUCGGUCAAAGAUGACCAAAGGACGAUCAAAUUCACGGCCGGUAGGUAAUCGGAGAGGCGAUUCGACGGAGCUGUGGCGGAGAAUGUAAGCACCUAGCAAACCAGCGAGGAGGUUGACUCUAGUCAAACCCAACGCGUGGUCAUGGUACCACAUGUUUCCAGGUUGUUGCUUGUUAACGUAAUGCGUAGUCUUUUUAGUCCAUCUGGAUCCAGUCUCUUUGAAAUCAGCAGUGAACCAUGAAUCUGCAUUUCCAUCGCUAGUUGGUUCGUGGAUGCCGCCGUGCAAGUGAACCACCGUGGGAAUGCCGCCGUGUUUAGGGAUUGCAGGGGAGAUUGUUGGGUCCCAAGGGAGGAUAUGAUGUAACGGGAGGUAAUUUCGCCACGUCACGUAGGUGUCGACUCCAUAAACAGCUUCUAUUGUCGGUCCAGGAACUGUUGCUAAACGCCUCGAUGUACCAUAUGCGAACACUGGCGUGGCAGGCAAGUCUCUGUGGAAUUUCUGUAGUUCACAAUAAUUUAACUCAUAUUAGUGUGUGUGACAGUGUUGGAGAAUAUUCAAAAAUUCAAAUCAUGCGAUUCAAUAAUUAGCACUUAGCAGAGUAAUAAAAUAGUUAAAAGAAGCAGAGCACAAUUAGCUAGGCCAAAGUGGUACAAAAGCAAUCAUAGUUAUAUAGUUAGUGGGUACUAACUUUCUAUCAAAUAAUCAUUAUAUUUUUUGUUCUUAGUACAAUUUAUCAAAAACAAAAUGUAAAGAGCUUAUAUAUAAUACUCUCUCUGUUUCACAAAGAGUGUCAUUUUAGAGUUUUGCACACAGAUUAAGAAAACAUUAAAUUUUUUGUUUUUUCUAAACAAAAACAUCAUUAACUAUAUACCUAAACAUAAUCUGCCCAAUAGUAAAGCAAUCUGCAGAAUACUAAUGGUCAUAAAACAUAAAAAAUCAUUAAAUUUUGCAUUGAAAACUUAAAACGACACUCUUUGUGAAACAAAAAUAAAACCUUAAAACGACACUCUUUAUGAAACGGAAGGAGUAAAAGAGUAUUCAUUCGGUAGGAGAGCAAAUAAUACUCCAUCCGUUUCAUAAUAUAAGAUGUUUUAGAAAAUUUUUUUUGUUUCACAAUAUAAGUCGUUUUCAAAUUUCUAUGUAAUUUAUAUAUUAUUUUAAUAUUUUAUGAUUAUUGAUAUUAUGAAGACUAUUUUAUGAUUAGUUAAACUUUUAAAAGGUAGAUCUUUUUAAUCUGCGUGCUUUUAAUUAAAACGACUUAUAUUAUAAAACGGAGGUAGUAUUAAAUUUGACUAGUGAUAAAAGAAAGUGCACUGAUUCGUCAGACUUAUAAACAUUAGAUAUUUUUCCCAAGAGGAAAAAUAAUAAGAAGAGGACAAGAUUGGAUACACAAGAUGAAUCUAUUCCAAUCACUUUACCAACAAAGACCCGUAGCCAACUAGAAAGCGAUUAAGUUUCACUAAUCUAUACGAUUUCGAAUAUUUAAUAUGUUAAAUUCAUGUCAUUAAUGAGUUUAGAUUCAAUAUUUGUUUUGGUCAAGAGUUUAUAAACAAAAAGGAAUUUGAGUAUUCAUUCGGUGAAGGGCAAGAAAUAUUCAACAUGACGAGUGAUAAAAAGUAUAUUAUCAUUAUACUUUUUUCUCAAAGACGACAAAUAUAAGUGAGGGAGGGGACAAGAGUGUGAACACAAAACACGAAUCUAUUCUAAUCACUUUACAACCUAAGAGCCGUAGCCAAGUAAUUAAAAAGCAAAUUAGCUUCACUAAUCUUAUACGAUUUGGAUUUUAAUGUUAAUAUUCAACAUUAAUUAGUCUGUUUAAGUUGGUCAACAAAAUUAAUGAGUCUAUUUUCUUGCAUGUAAUACAGGUGUAAAUCACUAAAUGAUGAUUAUUUGAAUUUUCUAUCUAAAUAUUUUGGCCAUUUAUAGCCUCAGGACAGAAAUGGAAGAUGAUCUGUUUUCACGAAUGACUAUAGACUGAAAAUUUAAUUUCACAUACCAAAUAUAACUUCAGAAAAACUGAGGAAUAAGGAAAAAAAUUAUAAAAAAGGAAAGAAUUAAAAUGAGAAUAAGGUAAGAAUUAAAUACCCAUUUCUUGAGGAACAUGCCUAUGUGAAGAGAUUUGGGUUUAAGGAAGCCAUUGACGAAGUGGUAGCCAUGAAGAGUAGGGAUAUGAGGAAGCUUGUCAACGAACAUCUCUAGCUUCUCAAGAUUGAACAGUCGCUCCUUUGCCUUUAUGCCUCCUGCGUCUCCGGUUACGAGCCAUGUCAUCGUUACGAUUAGGAGGAAAAUGUCUCUGGUCAUUAUCCUCCGAGAAGGCUUAGGCUCCAUGUCUUUGUCCUUCACGAGCUGUCGAAAUAUGCGAAAAAGUCAAGUGUGUGUUUGUGUGUUUGUAUGUGUGGAAUACUUAAAAGUUGAGGAGAGAAGUUGAAGAAGUUCUUUGGGUUUUUGCGUAUUUAUACAUAUGAGUGUGUGGUGUGAAAUAACUUUGUCGAUCUUUGCUUUCAUACUUUUGACUCUUGAGUCGUUCUUUCCUAAAAUUUAUAAUCUAAAAAGGAAUGGUUUUUUUAAUUAGUAAACUAUUCUAUAUUUAUAAAAGUAGAAUUUGAAUAUUAUGUACUUGAUGACUAAUAUUUAUUUUAAAAUUAAUAUGAUUCAUAUCUAUCAAAAACUGAAAAUUAAAUAGGGUUUAUAAUUCUUUUUUUUGAAUAACAAUUAACAAGGUUCAUAAUUCUGGCUUCUCAAAUCUAGGUUAGAUGUCCAUUCAUACGACAAUAUGGGUCUUUUUCGAAUAAAUUUGACCUUCUUCUAAGAAGCUCAUUCUUUUUAUUUUCUAAUAUAACUAAUACAUGAAAGUAAACCAUGGAAACUUUUGGGCCUAGUCGCCUAGUUCGUCCACUAUAUUUCGUCCCGUUAUUAAGAUAUUUUCUCCAACUUAAGCGUUACAUAAUUUUUUAGAAUAAGUUUUUCCAAUCUCUCGAAAAUUGUCUUAACCAUGUUAUCGUUUUAGCUACUUCACUUCGCCUCUCGUAACAUGGAUUAUCGCAGACCCAUAAUGGCUAAAGGUUACCAUCCAAGCUUGUGGGAGGUCUCAUAAGCAUUCCUUCACCAAACGGAUCUUUGCUCGCAUGUCCAAACACCGAAUUUCAACUAUUGAAAUUUGUAGUUAUGUUUGGCCUUAAAGGUCGAACCGUUUAUCUGCGAGUUAGCCGAAAUCCAGCAUACCUAUUGUUCUCUAAAUUUUUUCAUUUAUUUUAUUUUGAUAAAAACUUGUUCUUCAUUAAUUUUAAAAGUAGCAAAAAAGCAUCUUAUUUAUCAAAGACUCAAAAUAUAAAAUAUAUCUAGCCAGGCCCAAAAUGAACCCAACUUGAACCAAGAACUUUUCAAAAGGGGAUAAUCUAACAGCCCAAAAGCUAACUUAUUCUUUAUUUGUUACAAAUUGGAACUAUUGUUACUUUAAAACUCUUGUUGAUGCUACUCCAAAGAUUAUCAUCUAGCAUGAGUUCUAACGUAAAAAGCAGGCAAAUAGUGGUUACACAUAUAUAUAUAUAUAUAUAUAUAUAUAUAUAUAUAUAUAUACACUAUGCUUUUCAUAUGAAUACACAUCUUAUUUUAUACAACUGAACUAAAAGAUAUAUCUUCAGUUUUUUUUAAAGAAAAUUUUUCUGACAAUCCAAAUGACCCAAAAAUGAAAUUUUAACAAGAAAUUACACCAAAUUACCUUUUUAUAGAGUGUGAGGGAAAAAAAUCAAACCUGACUAAAAUAAUCGAUUCAAACCGAAAUUAAUCAAUUUGAAAUUGAAUCAACAAAAUUUAAAACAAAUUCAACCAUUACACACAUUUUUAUAUUAUAUUCAAAUUUUACGAUCAAUCCAGUUCUACAAAUUUCAGGUUUGGUUCGUUUUUGGUUUCGCAGAUAAUUGCCAGCACUAUUGACUUUUGAGCCUGUCUAUGUUUUGGUGUUCCUAGUCAAAAUGACUGUAAGCCGUCGAUGUCUUGGUUACUGUACACGUGUAGAUUAUCCAAAAGCCACAUCUCCCACCAAGCUAAAAUUGUGGUUGUCACAGUCAAAACGACGAUUUCCUUAAGUCCCACCUCAAUGCGCUAAAACGCGGCGCGUUUGCGUAUGCCCUUCGUGUGUCGUUUCUAGUCUCUCCAUUUGUUAUGUUUUGUGUCCUUUUCACAAUUUCAAAUCUAACAUAUCUUUUUUUUUUGUGUGUUUCAACUUUCAAGUUGUGUUAAGUCAUAAUUUAAUAAUCAGUCAUUUCAGUUUAGUCCCAAACAGUUGAUUUGAAAUAUCCAGGGAGAUACUUAAAUAAAUGUCAUCUCGAUCAUCCUAAGCACCAUGAUAAUAUAUAACUUCGGAUUUUAAUCUUCUUGGGAUUUUAUUUAAAGAUCACUCAUUCUAAGAAUUAAACAGGUGUUUGUUUUACGUGAGGUAUUUUUACUAUUCACAUCUUGGUAAAUGGUAAUUGGUUAUGAUAUAGCAAUUUUUUUUUUUUUUUUUGAGUUUAGGUAUGAUGAAGAAGUAUAGAAUUAAUAAAAAUUCGGCCAACAUAUUAUAUGUCACAUAUAUAUACACACUCAUCAAGGUGUGAACUACAAAAAUAUUAAAAGCAAAAUUCUAUAAGGUUCGAUAUUUAUAUGGUGCCACAAUUUUACUCGAAGAAUAAUAUAUUACAUCUCCGAUCAUCCAUGCAUGUAACAAACAUACUCAAAAUAGUUAUAAAUAAAACAAGUAGCAGACAAAACUGUGCAAUAAAGUAAUAGUAUCGUGAGAAACAGAAUUUCUACUUUCACUUACAAAAUGACUUGUCUCCUUACGGGUGGUCGGAAAGAUUUUGCUACGGCUACGUACUCCAAGUUAAUUACGGUUACUAUUAUUAUUUUUGAUUAGUUACGCGUCAUUUUCUAAACCUAAAGUCAUUACUAACAAAGUUAUGUGUAUAAAUAUCGUUUUUUUAAUAAAUGUUGUAUUACAGAUAUCGUGCAUCAUCAGCCGCAUAUAUACUUCGAUUGAGGAACAAUCGUAGUUAAUGGCUCCGAAGAAAAUCUACUUAAUCGAUGUUGGAUCUUCUACGUGUCAGAAAUUACGUCAUGGAAGAUAAAAGAUAGAGUUUAGAAGUUGAUAAUAUUUUAUUAUAUGAUGAUGUAUGUAUUUCACUUUGCAUGGAUUAACACAAAACCAAUUCACAACACUUCUUUUUCUCACCAAUUUGCCUCCACAAAACCGAUAAAACUCCAACAGCACGUAGCUUUUUUUUCUUCCUAAUUUAAAUUUUACCCAAGUUAAACACUUAACCGUUUUUCUCUUUUUCGUAAUUUUAUCUAAAAACUAACUUCAAUUAAUAACCUUUAGUAUUUAAUUCCACUAAUAUAUUAAUUUUAGAUAAUCGUAAAAACAAUAUCACCCGAAAAUACUUGAUAUAAAACAUAUUGAUUAUACAUAUUCCACUAACUUAUUUUGAAAAAUUUACACAAGUUACUUGUUGGUUCUUCCUCGAUGCAUACACAUACCAAAAGAGAGAAAGAGCCAAUUGCUUGAUACAACGUUACAUGUUAUGGAUAAUAUAUACUACUAGAGUAUACUAUUAUUACAUAACGGUACAAGCGUUGGGAUUCUCGUCGCUAAAAAGAGAAACGAAGUUGUCGUCGGGAGCUCCCGGCAACAGCUGCAACUGCGACUGCUCAGAUUUCCUGACAUAACCAGCCGGAGCUUUUUUGUCGUAAGUUCCGACUGCGUAUGGAUAUGCGACCAUGUUGUAGGGAACGUACGGCCAUAUCUCCGCCUUUUUCCCUGUCCUUUCGACUCUCUUUAACACCUUCUUCGGUUCCACGUAUCCACUCACCGUCACUUUGUGUAUCUUUCUGUUCACCUCCACCGAUCUCACCCCUACAAGAUUCGUAUGGAAAUGGGUUGUUGUUAGUUGUUACAUAAAAGUGGUGACGUUUUAUGGAAAUCAUCAAGAAAUUAUAAGGAAUACUACAGAAACCAUUCACGACAUCAUUAGAUUACGAGCUGGAGAUUCAAACCUUUCAUGGAGGAAACCGCGUUCUUGACUCUGCGUUCACAACCAUCGCAGUCCAUUUUCACCUUUAUAUUCACCGUCUGCAUGACUUUACGCUUCCUCCUAUUUCUGGAGACGCGGAAGUAGUCGGAGAUAUACUCAGAAAGAGAAUCAAGAGCACCCAUGUCUACUACUCUCACCAAGACGAUGUCGCAGAUAUAUAUGAGAGAUCAGAGAUGCAUAUAUAUUAUGGACUAGACUCGACCAUAUUUAUAGCAAGUACAUGGUGACUUGAUAAAAGUGUUAUGCCGAGGAUUUAGUACAAUUAAAUGUGUUUAAUAUUCAUAAAGUGUGGCCCUCUCUAAUGAUGUUUUCCUCCAAAUACACACGAUGGACAACGAUGCCAAAGUUUUUGGGCUAAAUCACACGACUCGACCGAUUUCUUUGUUACAAAAUUUUAACAUCCGUUUUAUAUUGAAAAGCUAACUAUAAUAAACAGAAGAGUAUAAAGUGAUAAUUUCUUCUUUUUUAACAAUGUCCGAUCGGUCGCGAUUAUAAAAAAACAAUGUCACGGGGUUAGAGGUUUAUCAUCCCCAUCACCUGAAUCACCUCACAAUUCACAUGCAUCAAAGUUAAUAUAUGCAUUGGUAAUGGCAAUUAUGGUUGGGUAGAUUCUUCUUUUACCAUCUAAACUUUUUCUUUUGGUUUUGUGUUUUAAAAAGGGUCUCUAUUAUAGAUUACAAUUUUGUUUAUGAUUAUUAAUUUCGUAUUACCUAUAGCCUAUAGCUAUUUAUGAUGUCGGUAUGUACAAGUUUAAGGCAUAAUUGUAAUCGUGUAUUGAAAACAAAAUGAACAUUCUAAUUAAUUUAACUGUAUUGUUACUAUGGAUAGGUACACGAUCGGAGGAAUGAUAAUAAGGUUUAUAGAUAAACUACACAAUCACACAUUCAAUUAUUUAAAUUUAGGUCAGAAACAGUAAAAGGGAAUAGUAAUAAGAAAAAAAUAGAAAGGAAUGUAGCAAUAAAGAUGGCAAUGAUUCGAUGAGAAAAAUAAGGUGUGGGGGUCCGAUUUUACGAAGUAGACAACUCAAUCAAACUAUUAUGUAGUCUAUAUGUUUGAAAAAGAAGUUAUAAAGCCCUUCAACAUCUUUUCUUAUUAUUUGUAUUAAUAUUUUUUUGUCUUUAUACUUUCCACCCUAGAAACUUCGUUGGCAUUUUCUUCUCUUGCAGGCUGGGCAAAAUAUUCGUUAGAUUCGCUUCGAUCUGUUAUUCGAUUCGAUUCGAUUUGAAAAAUCCGGAUAUCCGUAACUUUUCGAAGCAAAUCAAAUAUUAAAAAUAGAUAUUCGUAAAAAUCGGAGCAAAUAUCAAAUACUAUAAUUUAAAUUAGCCGAUAUCCGAUUCGCUCCGGAAUACAUACAUAUAUAUAGAUUAUUACAUAUAUAAAUUAUAAUUUUAUUAUUCUUGUAAGCGUUUUAUAAUUUUUAAUCUCUGAAUUAAUUAUUUGAACUACUAGUUUGAACAAUUAAAGGAGAAAUAUAUAUAUUUUUGAUAAAAUAUUACUAUUUUUAAUAAAAUUUUACAAUUUUUGGAUUAGAUUUUAUUUAUUAAAUUUUUUUUUUGUUUAAUUUUAAACAAAUACUUAACGGAUCGAAUAUCCGGCAAAUAGUUUGGAUUUUAACGGAUAUUCGAACAGCCGGGUAUCCGGUCACUAACGAAGCAAAUACGAAUCGAAAAACUUAGUAUUCGGAAAAAACGAAUCGAAUAACAAAUACCACUACAAACUCGGAUAUCCGCGCUGUGCCCACCCCUAUCUUACACCCCAAUUAUCAUAUUCUUAGACCUCUUUCUUUUUUUCCUUUUACAAAUUUAUAUAUUUCUAUAUUUCUCUUUUACUAUUUAAUUUUAGAAUCACAAGAGUAAUAAUGUAUAUGUCACCACAAUUUAUCGAAUUUCAAUUUUGAGUAAAUGUAUCCCACGAGUAAUUUUUGAAAAAGUCAACAAUAUGCUAAAGAGGGGCGUUACCGAUAUAAAGUUAAUUCCAAAAGAGGGUUUCAUUGAAAUAGUCACAUAAUUUCAAGAUGAAUAAAUCGACAGCUAUUAUAUAGCACGCAAUAGCAUUUAGCAUAGCCUCACUUUUACAACGAAAGAUUACUAAUCAGGGAAACAUAAGCAUUGAUCAAUGGGAAAAAUGUCGAAAAAUGUGCCAACUUUUAAAUUUGGGACGAUUAAAACAUGAACUCUCGAAAUAUUUCUUUAAUCACAAAGUUUCCGUUGACCUGUCUCGUUAAGUCUCCGUUAGAACGAUGCUGACGCUGUUAACAAUCCGUUAGAUUCUCCGUUCGAUCAAAAUGACGUCGUUUUGAAGUUUUUCAAACGACGUCGUUUCACCAGAAAAUAAGAAGGAAAAAUGGCAUCUCCAAAGAAUCGAACUGCUGACCUGUUACAACAAUAAGAGACACUCAACCAUUGGGCUAUAGAAACAUUUUAAUGUUAGUACAAACAGAACGUGUAUAUAUACUAAAACCUGGUAAUAUAAAUUAGGUAAAAAUAUAUGCAAUUAAUUAAAAAUAACAAAAUUAAAAAAUAAUAAUAACCAAAAAUACAAAUAUUAAAUAUACUUAUCAUAGUAUAUGUAUCAAAAUCUCAAAUAUUAUUUUAUAAAUAAAGAUUUCUUCCAUAUUUGGAAAAUUAUUCCUUCUAAUAUAAAAAAAAAUUAAAUAUAUGACAUAAAAUUAAUCAUAUAAUUAUGCCUUAUAUGCACCAAUGAUACAUGCACCAACCACAUUAAACAUUUAUACAAAGUUUAGGUUUUUAUAAUUUAGGAAAUAAUAAUUUUCCAAAAUAGAAUAAAAUCUUUAUAUAUAUAUAAUUAAAUGUUUAAAAUUUUGAAAUAUAUAUUUAAGGUAAGUAUAUUUAAUAUGUGUAUAUGUUUGGUUAUUAAUUUGUUUUUUAAUAUUGUUAUUUUAAUUAGUUGCAUACUCCCUCCGUUUUCGAAUAGUUGUCGUUUUAACUAGAGAAAUUGUUAAAAAUGCCCCUUUUUCAAUACCCCUUUUCAAAAAUGCCCCCUUUGAGAGUCCAUUUUUAAGUUUGCCCUCUUUUAAUUUUUAAUGACCAUUUUACCCUUAUUUGAAACAAAAUUAGGUCCACAAAAUACAAAAUAUUUUUUGGCGGGAAAAGUGAUCCCGCAAUUUUCCCGCCAAAACACUUGUAAAACCUUUAAAAACCUUGUAAAAUUUUACCGUAAAAUUUUUCCCGCCAAAAAUUUUCCCGCCAAAAAAUUUUUUCACGCGCGGCCAAUUNNNNNNNNNNNNNNNNNNNNNNNNNNNNNNNNNNNNNNNNNNNNNNNNNNNNNNNNNNNNNNNNNNNNNNNNNNNNNNNNNNNNNNNNNNNNNNNNNNNNCCCUCCAAAAAAUAUUUUGUAUAUUGUGGACCUAAUUUUGUUAUAUUUCCUUAUAUAUUUAUGAUAUCUUUUAUUAAAAGAAGGGUUAUUUAGUCAUUUUGUACAUAUAAGGGGUAAUUUUAAAAAUGGACAUCCAAAGGGGGCAUUUUUGAAAAGGGGUAUUGAAAAAGGGGCAUUUUUGUGAGUCUCCCUUUUAACUAUAUGCACACAAAUUAAGAAAUUAUUAAUGUUAUUAGUUUUUCAAUAUAAAAAUAUUAUUAAUUAUCUACCUAAACAUAAUUUAACCAAUAGUAAAUCAAGUUGCAUAAUAAAAAUAAAUAUAAAAAAUAAAAAAAGUAAUAAAUUUUGCAUCGAAAACUGAAAACGACAACUAAUUAAAAACAAAAUUUUUUAUCUAAAACGACUACUAUUCGAAAACGGAGGGAGUAUAUUUUUACCUAAUUUAUGUUACCAGUUUUUAGUAUAUAUACACGUUCUGUUUGUACUAACAUUAAAAUGUUUGCGUAGCCCAAUGGUUGAGUUUCUCUUAUUAGUGUAACAGGUCAGCUGUUCAAUUCUUUGGAGAUGCCAUUUUUUCUUCUUAUUUUCUGGUGAAACGACGUCGUUUGAAAACUUCAAAACGACUUCUUUUGAUCGAACGGAGAAUCUAACGGAUUGUUAACAGCGUCAGCAUCGUUCUAACGGAGACUUAACGCGAUGCCUAAUUUGGCCAGGUCAACGAAAACUUAGCUAUUUUUAGACAGGUCAACAGAAACUUUGUGAUUAAAGAGACAUUUCGAGAGUUCAUGCUUUAAUCGUUCCAAAUUUAAAAGUUGGCGCAUUUUUCGACUUUUAUCCCAUUGAUCAAUGGAUGGGGUUAUUGUCUAAAUAGGCAUUUGCUAGCCCAAAACUUUCAAUUUACGCAUUUCUUCCCGUUCCCUCAGUUUUAAGCAUUUUCUUAAUGCGUAGAAAGACGACAUUACCCCUCUGAGACUCGUCACUUCAUUUGGGUGGGAUAUGGCAAAUUGAAAAUCCUUCACUGCUCGGGAGACUUGUCGCACCGUCCACGUAAAACGAAUAUUCAGGAAGAACAUGAUAAGAACUCAAUACUCAAACUCAAUUGCUUAUUCUUAAUCCUCUGUACACAAUUCCAAAGAUAAUUGAUAUUAGAUUUAAAGAAGUACAACAAUGAGUCUCAAGAACAACAAUAGCAACAAGAUGAUGUGAAACAAAGAACAAAUUGAAGUUAGAAUCCUCGCAUCUCUCAGAUUCUAUCUUCACCACACAGUCUCAUACCGACGGAUCCAUCCUCACAAUUCACAUGCCUUUCUCUAUUUCUCUUCACACUUGUUUCUCUAUUUAUAAAUUUCUUCUUCCCUCAGUUCUUCUCGGCACACAUGCGUUGCACGACUUCUCUUUCAUUCUCAUUAUGCUUCUUUCUCCUAAAGUACACUCUUUGCACCUUAUCAGAUCAUCAUACAAAUUUACAAUUCAUAGAAACUACAACUACACAUCGAAUAAUAUUGUCACGAGUUAAACGCACAUUUAAUAAAGAACAUUAUACCCUAAGGACUACCACAACGAGGGAACCCAAGCAACCGACUUAAACGCACAUUUAAUAAAUAACAUCAUACCCUAAAGACUACAACAAUGAGGGAACCCAAGAAACCCAAGAAAAUGCUUGUUGACAUAGAUUAACAUUGACUCAUCAGAUAUUUAGCUUAGCAAUAGUUGACAGAAAAACGACCUGAUACGCUUAAAUGUUUAACAAGAGAGUUCAGAUUCAUACCUUCGCUCAAGAUCUGAGAAGCUUCACUUAUAGAACAUGUGUUUAGUGUUAUUCUCAUCUGGGAAUUGUCUUCCAUAUGAAGAUCCAUAGCAAGAAGCUGAUUUCUAUCACCAUCAUUGUUCUGGUGGUUACUUGUUGGAUCUGCAAUUCACUCUUUAUUUAACUAAGACCAUUGUCAUAAUGAGUAAAACGUGAUAUACCUUGAACGAUAAUUAUUUUUUCCAGAGAACAUGCAAAAAGAUGGAUCAAGUACACACAUGGAGAGAUGAAUCAACCAAAGGAUUUGCUAAUAAAGAGAGCAAGAGAUCUAAAUUUCAGACUAAAACCCUAAGAUUUCAAUUUCUUAGAAAGGUUCUUGAGGUUACCAACUAUCCACAAUCACAGUGUUUAUAUAUCUUCCCCAAACCUCUCUGAUAUAACACCACCACAACUAAUUACUAUAGAAAUCUAGAACCAAUUUGAUUUGUUUCUCCCGUAAGAAUAAAAACAUAACGAUUCAUGCAAAGAAAGAGAGCUCACAUACUCCCGACAUCAAGCAAUUCCCAAAAGGCUUCCAACGCUAUAGAGAAGCAACAACAAAAUAAAAAAUCGGAGACAAAGAUGCAAAGUAAGCAGAGUAAAAAAUCAUUCGAAAUCAGCAAAAUGAGAGGAGGGAUAGAGAGAAGUUACCUUUGAUUAUGAGGAGUGAAUCAUUUCGUAUUGGAGUGUAACACGAGCUGGCUUUCGGCGGAUGAACUUUGACCAUCGGUUCCUCAGAUUAGCGACGAAUCCAGCAGCUUGACGAAUCUCUUUGACGAAUAAAGCUACCAAUCCUUUUCUGGAUCUUCUAAGCAUAUUCUCCGAGGGUUUUUCCAUCAUGAAAGACGAUCUCAAAUUUUUGUUUGAUUUUCGCUGAGACGAGGAUUUUGGGAGGCGAGAGAGCUUAAGCGUGAGGGCAAGGUGGAUAUUUCCUCGCAGGUGAAAAUACCUAAAACGAAAGUUCCGGCAUCGUACCGGAUUCCGUAAUUUUGUGUCCAAAAAGGCCCAGUCCGGUAAUUUAAUCAUCAAUGGAUAUAUGCGUGUCCACAUCCUCCAUUUACAAAAAAUAAUAAAAAAAUUAACAACUCUUUUUAACUAUCUACACUGUGUUUGUGAUAAGAAAAAGCCGUUAUGUUAUAGCCCAAUCAAUUACUUUGACCCAUUCUUGUUAGUUUAACAACAUUGACUUGUCCUUGGCUCAAAUGUAGAAGUGGUCGUCGGAUUGGUUUGUUUCAUUCUUCUCCUUAGUUUUAUAGGAUUCCUUGCCUCUUCCGUUGUUUUAUUGUUUGAUCUUCCUUUGUUUCCGAGUUCCGCUUUCUUUUUCUAAGUGUUAUGGUUCUCUUAGUGUCAUGUAUUCUAUUUUGUGUUUCCCGCGAAUCGGGUUUUAGUUUCCGGAGAUUUCUUUGUUUUUUUGCCCGCUAGGUAUUUCAAAAACGUAUUCCACCCAUGUAUUUUUUUUUUGUAUUAUAUUAUGAAAAUGAUUAGGUGAAAAAAAGAAAAAGAAAAAAAACAACAUUGACUUGUCAUUUGUCAUAAGACUCCUAACGAAAUAACUAUAUACCAAAACAUCUCACACUCUGGUAGUGAAUUUUCUAUAUGGUACUACAUCAUACAACUGUGUCCGUGCACUUUUGCUCGGAGAGAAAACAGUCUCUAGAUGCUCAGAUCUCUGAAAUUUUGAAUAGAUCAUAGAUCAUAACAAUUCAAUAGUCCAAAAAGAUGAAACAAAAUGUAGUAAAAGAGAUAAACAAGAAGAGAAAACAGAGCCGUGAAAACGGGUUUCAGCCAACAAGUUGGGUUUUCCUCAGCCUAUCCAUCUUUACAGCCAAAUCCGCGACUUUAUCUUUCCGGCCUUCAUCGAGAAGCGUUUGUUUAAGACGGCUAAACAAAUGUCCCGGUGGCCUAAUACCAACAUCCAACAUCUCAUUGAAAUACUCACAAGCUUCGUCUAAUUUAUUCUCAUGGCACAGAGCUGUGAUCAAACUUGAGAACAUGUGCAUUCCCGGAAGAACACCUUUUCCUUUCAUCUCGUCCCAAAUCUUGAUCGCCAUAUCCAAUCUCUCUUUGUUGCAAAACAUCCUCACCAUGAUCUCAUAAGUACUCACCGUCGGUUCACAACUCAUCUUCUGAUAAACUUCAUAGGCUUCUUUUGUGCGCUGCAUUCUAAUCAAAUGAUGAAGAAUUAUAUCAUAAGUUCUAGCAUUUGGGCCAAUCCCUUUCGAUCUCAUCUCAUCCACGGUUUUAAAUGCGUCUUCCAUUCGCUGUGACCAGCAAUAAGCUCCAACUAGUGCAUUGUAAGUAGGAGCUUCAAGAGGAAACCCGGAACUCUUUGACCUCUCAAAGAAUUCAAGAGCAUCAUUCAGCUUCUUCUCAGAGCCAAGUCCAUUAAUCAGACUACAGAAAAUGUGAGGACUCGGCUUACAAUUCCUCUGUUCCAUCUCAUUGAAGAAUCUAACAGCUUCAUCAUACUUUUUCGCCUUGCAAUACGCAUUGAUAAUGAUACCGUACGCAACCACAUCCGGUUCAAAACCUUCGUCUUUCAUCUCUCCAUAAACCUCAUUAACUCUCAAAAGAUUCAACUCCUGACCCCAACCUUCAAGUAAAAUAGUAUAAGACUUAAUAUCAGGCUCAAACCUUUUCUUUUUCAUUUUAUCGAACACCUUCUGUGCAUCUCCAACAUUUCUAGAUUUGCUCAAAAUAUCAAGCAUACGAUUGAAAUCACUUGAUUCCAUCUUAAACCCAUAAUCUUCCAUCUUAUGAAACGCAGUUAUAGCUUCUUUAACCUUCCUAGCUCUAGCGUAACGUCUAGAAAUGAGAGCAAACGUGUCUUUGCUCAAAAGCUUCUUUUGUUUCAUGUCGUCUACAAGAUUCCAAAUGAGUUUGAAUUGCUUGAUCUUACCUAAUGAUUCAAUCAAUGCGUUGUAGUUUGAAGUAGUGUGCUUGAAACCCUUUUGAUUCUCUGCCCAUUUGAAUACAGAUAAAGCUAAAACCCCAGCGUUGCUUAGCUUCUUCAGUACUUCUUCGAUUAGUGCCGGCGAGAGUUUAACAGAAGCUUCGUUGAGCAAAGUUUCAACCUUUGAAUCCGUGAAUUUGGACAGAAUUUUGCAGAUUUUAUCAGCGUCUUGUGAAACAUCAUUAGCAGAAACUUGGGUUUCAACAGAAGAAGCGUGAAAUGAUCCAUAAACUGUAAAAUUUGAAGCUUUAUGAAUCCAUGGAAUCGAUUCGAGACUCAAGCUUGAGGACGAAGAAGAAGAGAUUCUUAAGUAGACACGGCGAGAGAGAUUCACUCCGGCGGAGCUGAAGAAUCGAGAGAAGACCAUUGGAGGAGAAAGUUUAGAUUUUUACUUUCAAUAAACUAAGGGAUAAUCGCAUUUGGUCGAGUACCGUUAUAAAGAUUACAACAGAGGAACAAAAAAGUUCAUCGAAUUUGCGAACAAAAAGUUCUCAAGUGGCUUUAACAAAGGAAUUACAAAAUCUAGGAAAGAUAAAAAAAAUCUCUCCUUUCUAUUCUCUGCUCCUUCUCCUCGUAUAAAUACAUCAGCCACUGUGUUGUUGUUGUUGUUGUUGCUCAAAGAAUUAACCUUACAGAGACUGAAAACAAUGUAUUCUCGUGUCGUGUGUCGUAUAAUCACUUGCAUUGAUUCGAUUGUGAAUUCAAAUCAUCAAGAAAAUUCGUUAUUGUUUCGUCUAGCUUCUUAGCUUGAGGUCCAGCUUUGACAAUGUUGACUUCAUCCCAUUCCGAGCAAGGAUCUGUCCACCAGCUACUGUGGCUCGAGCACCAAGCGCCAGGAGUGACACGGUAACGCCCACGUUUCAGGAUCUCUCUAUCGACCAUGUCGAGUACUGGAUCGUCUUUCUUGAACUGUCUGGCGAAAGCUGCUCCGCUUUGAGCCAUUUGUUCGAAAUCUGAUACAGUAAGGAAGUGUGGUUCCAUCUUUGGUGGACUGUCCCAUAUCAUGUAUCGUAAGUCCCCGUUGACUGUCGUGUUACUGAACUCGGGUGCGUUGCAUAUCACUGUGUGGAAAUAGCAUUCUUCAGAGAGAAUGACAUUGUUAAAAUACAUCAGAAGGACUCUCGGUAAAUUGUCCCAACCGAAGAUGCAGUAUUCUAGGAAAGAUCUACUCAGUACAAUCCAAGGCGAGCCUGCAGUAAUAUCACAAACCAGAACCACACGCCAAUUUGGUUAGAAUGAAACUGUAUACAUAUUAGGAAUGUAACCACAAAAAGUGUUAUUAGCUACUGAAUCUUUUGCCUGUAAAGACUUUGAACGCAUCUGGUGUUGGUCGUUUCUCGGUAGCAGUGAAUAGCUGAGUUCUUCUAGCUAAGUAAAGUGCUGGAUCAACAACAAUAGGCUUGAUUCUCUGAGCUCUACAGAAAAAUCCAUUAUCAUAAUAAUCCCAAUCACAAGUACAUUUAAUAAAAAAACAUUGCAAGAAGACUGGCAAAAGUUCUUUACUUACUCUUUCCAAGCAAGGUCACUAGUGUGAUCAAUAAAAUUGAGGCUUCUAUUCACUGAGGCAAACACAUGAGAUAGGUCUGAGAGAAAUCAUGAGAGAUGAAAAUUUAUUAGAAUCCAGGUCAGAUGAAGACAAACACAGAAGCUGUUGAGUAAUAAAGUUCUAAAGCAACAAUAUUUGCCAUAAAGAGAUCAGUGUCAUCAUCAAUGAAAGUGAUUACAUUUCUACUUUAUUUCCAAAAUAAGAGUAGAUUGAUUCUAGAGUAUAUCAUGAACACUGCAAUCUCAAGAAGCUAACAAGCUCAAAAACAAAGAUCUAGAGUGCAAAUGAAUCACAAUCACAAAGCAAGCCUAAAGCUAGUUUCUUGUAUAGUUUCAGAUUAAAAUAGAAAGAAUUAAAAUUUAAACAUACCAUCUUGAGUAAUGAGAGGAUAAUCCAAAGCACUAAGCUCAAUAAACCAAUUCCAAGUACGAUCAAGCUUAAGAAGAAUAGAAACAGCGUGAAGAGUAGAAGCAAUCUUAGAAGCACCAUUCUCAGACAAACGAUCAACUUUCCCUAAAACAUCAACAUUCCCAAAAGCAUUCACAGCAGGAACAGAUUUCAAAUCCGAGAGAAGAGCAAGCCUCUCAGCAUCAGUAGCUUCAGCACCUAGAUGGAGAAGAUACCGAUUCCUAGGAUGAUAAACCGCGAGCAAUAACCGAAAGAUCCGGUCAUUAUCUCCACGACCACCGGUUAUGUAAUAAGCGAAAGCUGGUGGGUAAUGAGCACCGUGACGGAUUGAAGAAGGGAAUGGUUUAGAGGUAAAAGCAGAGAUUGAGUAAAGUAAGAGAAGGAACACUGAGAGAAAUACUACAGAGAAGAGUGUGAAAAGCCAUUUCUUUUCAGCUCCCAUUGUUCUUCACUUCUUUCUUCUUUCACCUUUGAUUUGUUAGAAUCUGGCUCCGAUUGAGCAUAUAUGUGGAUUCACAGAUUCAAAUCUGUGGUUUUAGAGCUCAUAUAUGGAUCUUUGAAAUAUGGAGGAAGAUGAGAUCUCGGUGUGAGUGAGAUCGAGCAUAGAUUGGGAUCAGAGCCCGAGGAGAUCUCAAGAAGAAGCCAAUGAUAAUUGAAGCAGAGAAAAAUGGAGAGUGGGAGAGAGAGAGUGAGAAAUAAAGAUUAGGGUUUGAGA
This 42916-nucleotide long non-coding RNA is filed under the name Arabidopsis lyrata. Its description in RNAcentral is "long non-coding RNA (ALYR_LNC002850)". The record is from RNAcentral. Lineage: Eukaryota; Viridiplantae; Streptophyta; Magnoliopsida; Brassicales; Brassicaceae.